Molecule: ribosomal RNA, 496 nt
Filed under: uncultured bacterium
Lineage: Bacteria
Description: partial 16S ribosomal RNA
Rfam family: Bacterial small subunit ribosomal RNA
Source: RNAcentral
AUGAACGCUGGCGGCGUGCCUAAUACAUGCAAGUCGAGCGAACAGAUGAGGAGCUUGCUCCUCUGACGUUAGCGGCGGACGGGUGAGUAACACGUGGAUAACCUACCUAUAAGACUGGGAUAACUUCGGGAAACCGGAGCUAAUACCGGAUAAUAUAUUGAACCGCAUGGUUCAAUAGUGAAAGUCGGUUUUGCUGUCACUUAUAGAUGGAUCCGCGCCGCAUUAGCUAGUUGGUAAGGUAACGGCUUACCAAGGCAACGAUGCGUAGCCGACCUGAGAGGGUGAUCGGCCACACUGGAACUGAGACACGGUCCAGACUCCUACGGGAGGCAGCAGUAGGGAAUCUUCCGCAAAGGGCGAAAGCCUGACGGAGCAACGCCGCGUGAGUGAUGAAGGUCUUCGGAUCGUAAAACUCUGUUAUUAGGGAAGAACAAAUGUGUAAGUAACUAUGCACGUCUUGACGGUACCUAAUCAGAAAGCCACGGCUAACUACGUG